RNAcentral lists this transfer RNA (93 nucleotides) under Capsulimonadaceae bacterium. RNAcentral describes it as "tRNA-Ser". It matches the Rfam family "tRNA". From Rfam's summary of the family: Transfer RNA (tRNA) molecules are approximately 80 nucleotides in length. The record is from RNAcentral. Lineage: Bacteria; Bacillati; Armatimonadota; Armatimonadia; Capsulimonadales; Capsulimonadaceae.
GGAGCGUUACCCAAGCGGCUGAAGGGGCGGGUUUGCUAAACCUGUAGGGGGUCGUAAGAUCCCGCGAGAGUUCAAAUCUCUCACGCUCCGCCA